RNAcentral lists this ribosomal RNA (420 nucleotides) under uncultured bacterium. RNAcentral describes it as "bacterial SSU rRNA". It matches the Rfam family "Bacterial small subunit ribosomal RNA", at positions 355 to 774 of the family's 1533-position model. The record is from RNAcentral.
UCGAGAAUCUUCGGCAAUGGGCGCAAGCCUGACCGAGCGACGCCGCGUGCGGGAUGAAGGCCUUCGGGUUGUAAACCGCUGUCAGAGGGGGGGAAGGGUCCGUGAAGAGCGGAACUUGACCUAUCCUCAGAGGAAGUGCGGGCUAAGUUCGUGCCAGCAGCCGCGGUAAGACGAACCGCACAAACGUUAUUCGGAAUCACUGGGCUUAAAGGGUGCGUAGGCGGCUACGCAAGUCGGGUGUGAAGGCCCUCAGCUCAACUGAGGAAUUGCGCCCGAUACUGUGUGGCUUGAGGGAGACAGAGGUGAGCGGAACUUGCGGUGGAGCGGUGAAAUGCGUUGAUAUCGCAAGGAACACCAGUAGCGAAAGCGGCUCACUGGGUCUCUUCUGACGCUGAGGCACGAAAGCUAGGGUAGCGAAGA